UGGGGAAUAUUGGACAAUGGGCGCAAGCCUGAUCCAGCCAUGCCGCGUGAGUGAUGAAGGCCCUAGGGUUGUAAAGCUCUUUCACCGGUGAAGAUAAUGACGGUAACCGGAGAAGAAGCCCCGGCUAACUUCGUGCCAGCAGCCGCGUUAAUACGAAGGGGGCUAGCGUUGUUCGGAUUUACUGGGCGUAAAGCGCACGUAGGCGCACUUUUAAGUCAGGGGUGAAAUCCCGGGGCUCAACCCCGGAACUGCCUUUGAUACUGGAAGUCUUGAGUAUGGUAGAGGUGAGUGGAAUUCCGAGUGUAGAGGUGAAAUUCGUAGAUAUUCGGAGGAACACCAGUGGCGAAGGCGGCUCACUGGACCAUUACUGACGCUGAGGUGCGAAAGCGUGGGGAGCAAACAGG
RNAcentral lists this ribosomal RNA (404 nucleotides) under Actinomycetes bacterium. Its description in RNAcentral is "Actinobacteria bacterium partial 16S ribosomal RNA". It matches the Rfam family "Bacterial small subunit ribosomal RNA", at positions 355 to 776 of the family's 1533-position model. Lineage: Bacteria; Bacillati; Actinomycetota; Actinomycetes. The record is from RNAcentral.